CCUACGGGUGGCAGCAGUGGGGAAUAUUGGGCAAUGGGCGCAAGCCUGACCCAGCAACGCCGCGUGAAGGAAGAAGGCUUUCGGGUUGUAAACUUCUUUUAUUGAGGACGAAACAAAUGACGGUACUCAAUGACUAAGCCACGGCUAACUACGUGCCAGCAGCCGCGGUAAUACGUAGGUGGCAAGCGUUAUCCGGAUUUACUGGGUGUAAAGGGCGUGUAGGCGGGACUGCAAGUCAGAUGUGAAACCCAUGGGCUCAACCCAUGGCCUGCAUUUGAAACUGUAGUUCUUGAGUGAUGGAGAGGCAGGCGGAAUUCCGGGUGUAGCGGUGAAAUGCGUAGAUAUACGGAGGAACACCAGUGGCGAAGGCGGCCUGCUGGACAGUAACUGACGCUGAGGCGCGAAAGCGUGGGGAGCAAACAGGAUUAGAUACCCUUGUAGUC
Molecule: ribosomal RNA, 443 nt
Filed under: uncultured bacterium
Lineage: Bacteria
Description: partial 16S ribosomal RNA
Rfam family: Bacterial small subunit ribosomal RNA
Source: RNAcentral